RNAcentral lists this ribosomal RNA (253 nucleotides) under uncultured bacterium. Its description in RNAcentral is "partial 16S ribosomal RNA". It matches the Rfam family "Bacterial small subunit ribosomal RNA", at positions 524 to 776 of the family's 1533-position model. The record is from RNAcentral.
UACGUAAGUGGCGAGCGUUAUCCGGAAUCACUGGGCGUAAAGCGUUCGUAGGCGGCGCGGAUAGUUGGAUUUGAAAGCCCGGGGCUUAACUCCGGAUCCGGAUCCAAAACUCCCGUGCUUGAGCAUAUCAGAGGGCAGUGGAAUUCCCGGUGUAGCGGUAAUAUGCGUAGAUAUCGGGAGGAACACCAGUGGCGAAGGCGGCUGCCUGGGGUAUUGCUGACGCUGAGGAACGAAAGCCAGGGGAGCGAACGGG